RNAcentral lists this ribosomal RNA (253 nucleotides) under uncultured bacterium. RNAcentral describes it as "partial 16S ribosomal RNA". It matches the Rfam family "Bacterial small subunit ribosomal RNA", at positions 524 to 776 of the family's 1533-position model. The record is from RNAcentral.
UACAGAGGUCUCAAGCGUUGUUCGGAUUCAUUGGGCGUAAAGGGUGCGUAGGUGGCGGGGCAAGUUUGGUGUGAAAUCCCGAGGCUCAACCUCGGGUCUGCAUCCGAUACUGCCCGGCUAGAGGUAGGUAGGGGAGAUCGGAAUUCCUGGUGUAGCGGUGAAAUGCGCAGAUAUCAGGAGGAACACCGGUGGCGAAGGCGGAUCUCUGGGCCUUACCUGACGCUCAGGCGCGAAAGCUAGGGGAGCGAACUGG